Molecule: small RNA, 38 nt
Filed under: Anaerobutyricum hallii
Lineage: Bacteria; Bacillati; Bacillota; Clostridia; Lachnospirales; Lachnospiraceae
Description: CRISPR_Spacer
Source: RNAcentral
AGAUCAGAUGGAAUUUGUUAUUAUGGGAAUGCGAAAUC